Molecule: ribosomal RNA, 368 nt
Filed under: uncultured organism
Description: bacterial SSU rRNA
Rfam family: Bacterial small subunit ribosomal RNA
Source: RNAcentral
CGUAGGGUGCGAGCGUUAAUCGGAAUCACUGGGUUUAAAGGGUGCGUAGGUGGGUUGGUAAGUCAGUGGUGAAAUCUCCAGGCUUAACUUGGAAACUGCCAUUGAUACUAUCGGUCUUGAAUACCGUGGAGAUGAGCGGAAUAUGUCAUGUAGCGGUGAAAUGCUUAGAUAUGACAUAGAACACCAAUUGCGAAGGCAGCUCGUUACACGAAUAUUGACACUGAUGCACGAAAGCGUGGGGAUCAAACAGGAUUAGAUACCCUGGUAGUCCACGCCCUAAACGAUGGAUACUCGACAUUUGCGAUAAACUGCAAGUGUCUGAGCGAAAGCAUUAAGUAUCCCACCUGGGAAGUACGACCGCAAGGUUG